AGGUGUCGGUCAACAGCGCAGAGGAAUAUGAAGAAGCUCUGAAGAUCGCUGCAAAACAAGGCCGCCAGCUACAGAUGAACGUUUAUGAAUUAAGUCCUGCUCUGGGCACAUCUUCGUGUCAAGUCCCUGAGGAAUUUGAGGUGGCCCCUGGGGAUGGGAGGAAACAUCUC
Long non-coding RNA from Gekko japonicus, 170 nucleotides. RefSeq lists it as uncharacterized. The record is from RefSeq and is a predicted model, not a curated record. Lineage: Eukaryota; Metazoa; Chordata; Lepidosauria; Squamata; Gekkonidae. The transcript is spliced from 3 exons.